Molecule: ribosomal RNA, 879 nt
Filed under: Enterococcus faecalis
Lineage: Bacteria; Bacillati; Bacillota; Bacilli; Lactobacillales; Enterococcaceae
Description: bacterial SSU rRNA
Rfam family: Bacterial small subunit ribosomal RNA
Source: RNAcentral
CGGUGCUGUCCGGAUUAUUGGGCGUAAGCGAGCGCAGGCGGUUUCUUAAGUCUGAUGUGAAAGCCCCCGGCUCAACCGGGGAGGGUCAUUGGAAACUGGGAGACUUGAGUGCAGAAGAGGAGAGUGGAAUUCCAUGUGUAGCGGUGAAAUGCGUAGAUAUAUGGAGGAACACCAGUGGCGAAGGCGGCUCUCUGGUCUGUAACUGACGCUGAGGCUCGAAAGCGUGGGGAGCAAACAGGAUUAGAUACCCUGGUAGUCCACGCCGUAAACGAUGAGUGCUAAGUGUUGGAGGGUUUCCGCCCUUCAGUGCUGCAGCAAACGCAUUAAGCACUCCGCCUGGGGGAGUACGACCGCAAGGUUUGAACCUCAAAGGAAUUGACGGGGGCCCCGCCCCAAGCGGGGGAAGCAGGUGGUUUAUUUCGGAAGCCACCGGGAAGGAACCUUACCCAGGUCUUUGACCUCCCUUUGACCACCUCUAGAAAAUAGAAGCUUUCCCUUUCGGGGACCAAAGUGAACAGGGGGUGCAAGGGUUGGUGGUCAGCUCGUGUGGGGGGAGGUUGGGUUUAAGUCCCGCAACGGGCGCAACCCUUUAUUGGUUAGUUUGCCAUCAUUUAGUUGGGCCCCCCUAGCGAGGACUGCGGGUGACAAACCGGAGGAAGGUGGGGGAUGACGUCCAAAUCAUCAUGCCCCCUUAUGACCUGGGCCACACACGUGCUACCAUGGGAAGUACAACGAGUCGCUAGACCGCGAGUCAUGCAAAUCUCUUAAAGCUCCUCUCAGUUCGGAUUGCAGGCUGCCACUCGCCUACAUGAAGCCCGUAAUCUACAUAGUAAUCGCGGAUCAGCACCGCCGCGUGAUCUCUCCCCGCCCGUUUAUAUA